RNAcentral lists this transfer RNA (66 nucleotides) under Euryodendron excelsum. RNAcentral's name for it is "tRNA-Val". The record is from RNAcentral. Lineage: Eukaryota; Viridiplantae; Streptophyta; Magnoliopsida; Ericales; Pentaphylacaceae.
AGGGCUAUAGCUCAGUUAGGUAGAGCACCUCGUUUACACAAUUAGUUUGAUCUGUUUUACCGAGAA